GGAUUCCCUUAGUAGCUGCGAGCGAACAGGGAGAAGCCCAGCACUGAAUCCCGUGGCCGGUAACGGACGCUGGGAAAUGUAGUGUUAGGGAGGAUCCAUUUAUCCCAAGAUUGUGCAGUGCGUCCAAGUCCUUCUUGAACGGGGCCACAGCCCAUAGAGGGUGCCAGGCCCGUAGUGACCACUGCCGAUCGUGGGAGGAUCUCUCCUCAGAGUCGGGUUGCUUGAGAGUGCAGCCCUAAGUGGGUGGUAAACUCCAUCUAAGGCUAAAUAUGACCACGAGACCGAUAGCGAACAAGUACCGUGAGGGAAAGUUGAAAAGCACUUUGAAGAGAGAGUUAAAGAGUACGUGAAACCGUUCAGGGGUAAACCUGAGAAACCCGAAAGGUCGAAAGGGGAAAUUCAAUCGUGUCUCGAUUUUGUUGGCAAGAGGUGAUUGUAUGACAGCUGGUGUUCGCAUCACGUUGCAUCUGUCGCCUUUUGAACUGACGUCGAAUGCGUGCACUUUUCCCCUAGUAGGACGUCGCGAUCCAUUGGGUGUCGGCCUAAGGCCCGUGGUGAUGCCUGGUCGAACUGGCUUUMGCCUCUUCGACUAGACCCAUGGUGCUACCCGGCCGACUCGCCCGAUGGUAUACAGAUGGCGGAGAGCCGCGACAUUCAGUUCGCGUUCGGCCCAUAGCAAGCACAUUUGUUGUGUUGGCAAUCGGACCUAGUGCCGAUUCCGACCUCGAGUGUCUGUUGGUUGUGGUGUUCUCGAACAGACUCUCACAAUUUUGAAAUGCCUAUCUGCGGCGCUAUAGCUUUGGGUACUUUCAGGACCCGUCUUGAAACACGGACCAAGGAGUCUAGCAUGUGCGCAAGUCAUUGGGGUAUGACUAAACCUAAAGGCACAAUGAAAGUGAAGGUUCGUCUUGCGCGAACCAAGGGAGGAUGGGUGGUUCAUGAAAGUGGCCACUCCGCACUCCCGGGGCGUCUCAUUCUCAUUGCGAGAAGAGGCGCACCAAGAGCGUACACGCUGGGACCCGAAAGAUGGUGAACUAUGCCUGGUCAGGACGAAGUCAGGGGAAACCCUGAUGGAGGUCCGUAGCGAUUCUGACGUGCAAAUCGAUCGUCGGAACUAGGUAUAGGGGCGAAAGACCAAUCGAACCAUCUAGUAGCUGGUUCCCUCCGAAGUUUCCCUCAGGAUAGCUGGCGCUCAUUGCGCACGAGUCUCAUCCGGUAAAGCGAAUGAUUAGAGGCAUUGGGGUCGAAACGACCUCAACCUAUUCUCAAACUUUAAAUGGGUGAGAUCUCCGGCUUGCUCGAAAUAUUAACUAAUAUGAAGCCGAGAGACACGGAUCAGAGUGCCAAGUGGGCCAUUUUUG
This 1361-nucleotide ribosomal RNA is filed under the name Cyclaxyra politula. RNAcentral describes it as "eukaryotic LSU rRNA". It matches the Rfam family "Eukaryotic large subunit ribosomal RNA", at positions 72 to 1139 of the family's 3401-position model. Lineage: Eukaryota; Metazoa; Arthropoda; Insecta; Coleoptera; Cyclaxyridae. The record is from RNAcentral.